GCCGAAAAGCUCGAUAAAUACGGUAAAUACUGGAUGCCGUAAAGACUCAAAAUCUGGCGAUGGCAACAUCGUGCGGGUUCAAGUCCCGCCUCCGGCA
Molecule: transfer RNA, 97 nt
Filed under: Caudoviricetes sp.
Lineage: Duplodnaviria; Heunggongvirae; Uroviricota; Caudoviricetes
Description: tRNA-OTHER
Source: RNAcentral